UGCCCAGACUCCUACGGGAGGCAGCAGUGGGGGAUAUUGCACAAUGGGGGGAACCCUGAUGCAGCGACGCCGCGUGGGUGAAGAAACGCCUCGGCGCGUAAAGCCCUGUCAGCAGGGAAGAAAAUGACGGUACCUGAAGAAGAAGCCCCGGCUAACUACGUGCCAGCAGCCGCGGUAAUACGGAGGAUGCGAGCGUUAUCCGGAUUUAUUGGGUUUAAAGGGUGCGUAGGCGGAUUUUUAAGUCAGCGGUAAAAUGUCCGGGCUCAACCCGGGCCGGCCGUUGAAACUGGGGAUCUUGAGUGGGCGAGAAGUAUGCGGAAUGCGUGGUGUAGCGGUGAAAUGCAUAGAUAUCACGCAGAACUCCGAUUGCGAAGGCAGCAUACCGGCGCCCGACUGACGCUGAGGCACGAAAGCGUGGGGAUCGAACAGGAUUAGAUACCCCUGUACC
Molecule: ribosomal RNA, 448 nt
Filed under: uncultured bacterium
Lineage: Bacteria
Description: partial 16S ribosomal RNA
Rfam family: Bacterial small subunit ribosomal RNA
Source: RNAcentral